AAGCUCGUAGUUGGAUUUCUGUUAAUAAUUUAUAUAAAAUAUUUUGAAUAUUUAUAUAACAUUAACAUAAUUCAUAUUACUAUAUAUUUUAGUAUAUGAAAUUUUACUUUGAGAAAAUUAGAGUGCUUAAAGCAGGCAUAUGCCUUGAAUACUCCAGCAUGGAAUAAUAUUAAAGAUUUUUAUCUUUCUUAUUGGUUCUAAGAUAAGAAUAAUGAUUAAUAGGGACAGUUGGGGGCAUUUGUAUUUAACAGUCAGAGGUGAAAUUCUUAGAUUUGUUAAAGACAAACUAAUGGGAAAGCAUUUGCCAAGGAUGUCUUCAUUAAUCAAGAACGAAAGUUAGGGGAUCGAAGACGAUCAGAUACCGUCGUAGUCUUAACCAUAAACUAUGCCAACUAGAGAUUGGAGGUUGUUCCUUACUCCUUCAGCACCUUA
This 432-nucleotide ribosomal RNA is filed under the name Cryptosporidium parvum. Its description in RNAcentral is "SSU rRNA". It matches the Rfam family "Eukaryotic small subunit ribosomal RNA", at positions 624 to 1090 of the family's 1831-position model. The record is from RNAcentral. Lineage: Eukaryota; Apicomplexa; Conoidasida; Eucoccidiorida; Cryptosporidiidae.